This 105-nucleotide ribosomal RNA is filed under the name Tricholoma equestre. RNAcentral describes it as "5.8S ribosomal RNA". It matches the Rfam family "5.8S ribosomal RNA", at positions 1 to 101 of the family's 154-position model. From Rfam's summary of the family: 5.8S ribosomal RNA (5.8S rRNA) is a component of the large subunit of the eukaryotic ribosome. It is transcribed by RNA polymerase I as part of the 45S precursor that also contains 18S and 28S rRNA. Lineage: Eukaryota; Fungi; Basidiomycota; Agaricomycetes; Agaricales; Tricholomataceae. The record is from RNAcentral.
AUACAACUUUCAACAACGGAUCUCUUGGCUCUCGCAUCGAUGAAGAACGCAGCGAAAUGCGAUAAGUAAUGUGAAUUGCAGAAUUCAGUGAAUCAUUGAAUCUUU